This is a long non-coding RNA of Aphis gossypii (cotton aphid), 1351 nucleotides long. RefSeq lists it as uncharacterized. The record is from RefSeq and is a predicted model, not a curated record. NCBI's taxonomy places the organism in Eukaryota, Metazoa, Arthropoda, Insecta, Hemiptera, Aphididae. The transcript has 6 exons.
AAAAACAUAUUUAUUGAAUUUCAGUUACUGAAAUACAAUCAUGUUCAGAUCCAAAAAUUGAAGAAGACAAAGACAAUAUUUUUACUAAAGAUUAUAUGACCCAAUAUAAUGAAAAAGACACGCCAGAGAAAGCUGAUUGGAAAAGUAUUUUAAAGCACCUGGGGAUAAAUGAAAAAUUGAUAAAUGUUGAAGAGGAGUAAAUGUAAGAUUAAAAAACCGGUGACUAAACAUCCGACGAAAGUACGAUUUAAAAAUAUAUACCUCAACAUAUUCAAUAAUUAUAAUUAAAUAUAAUUUUUAUAGUAUUUUAGUAUACUCAUUAAUAUGUAUCUUUAAAAUUAUUAAAAUUUUACUAUCUGCAGUCAGAUAAAUUGAUAUGAUUUAAAGUUUAAUCCUAAAACAAAAUAUAAAUGUUUAAUAAUAAUCAUUGUUAUAGUAUAAGAUUAUAAAUUAUUAUUAUAUUGCAAGAAAUAAAUUAUAUUUUAUUUUAUUCAUACAUUAAAAAUAUAAUAGUGUGGUAUAUGCUUAUAUAAACAUAUAUAAUAAAUAAUACAUAAUUUAUUAUAAAUAAAAAUUAAAUAGAAUAUUUUGUAUUUCCGAAUAUUUUGUACCCAGAGUUUUGACCAAUAAAUGCAGAGAUUCCCAACUAGGGUGCCGCGAACUUUAUUUAGGGUUCCGCGAAAUUAUUUGAAAUAUAUUUUUUAAGAAAAAACGAUUUCAUGAAAAAUAAAAUAUAACAUUGUGUGUAAUAAAACAGACUAUAAUAUAAAACCUAAUAAUGGUUUCAUAUAAUUUGUAGAAAUAUUGUGUUGUUCAAUCUAUUUUAAUGUUCAUACUUCGAUGUGUAGGACUGUCAAAGUUAUCACUUUACCACUUAUUUAUGGUGAAAUACUUGUGACUUUAUCUAAAUGUUCGUGAUAAUAUUUAUAGCGGGUUACCUAAAUGAUCGCGAUAAUAUUUAUAACGGGAUACCUAAAUGUUCGUGAUAAUAUAUAUAGCAGGAUACCUAAAUGUUCGUGAUAAUAUGUAUUGCGGGACAAUGGAAUCUUCGUGAUAAUAUUUAUAGCGGGAUACCUAAAUGAUCGUGAUAAUAUUUAUAGCGGGAUAGUUAAAUGUUCGUGAUAAUAUAAAAAGUGGGAUACCUAAAUGUUCGUGAUAAUAUAUAUAGCGGGAUACCUUAUUUCUCGUGAUAAUAUAUAUAGCGGGAUACCUAAAUGAUCGUGAUAAUAUUUAUAGCAGGAUACCUAAAUGAUCGUGACAAUAUAUAUAGCGGGAUACCUUAAUGCUCGUGAUAAUAUAAAAAGUGGGAUACCUAAAUGUUCGUGAUAAUAUUUAUAGCGGGAUACCUUAA